GACGAACGCUGGCGGCGUGCUUAACACAUGCAAGUCGAACGGAAAGGCCCUUCGGGGUACUCGAGUGGCGAACGGGUGAGUAACACGUGGGUGAUCUGCCCUGCACUUUGGGAUAAGCCUGGGAAACUGGGUCUAAUACCGAAUAGGACCACGCGCUUCAUGGUGUGUGGUGGAAAGCUUUUGCGGUGUGGGAUGGGCCCGCGGCCUAUCAGCUUGUUGGUGGGGUAAUGACCUACCAAGGCGACGACGGGUAGCCGGCCUGAGAGGGUGACCGGCCACACUGGGACUGAGAUACGGCCCAGACUCCUACGGGAGGCAGCAGUGGGGAAUAUUGCACAAUGGGCGCAAGCCUGAUGCAGCGACGCCGCGUGAGGGAUGACGGCCUUCGGGUUGUAAACCUCUUUCAAUAGGGACGAAGCGCAAGUGACGGUACCUAUAGAAGAAGCACCGGCCAACUACGUGCCAGCAGCCGCGGUAAUACGUAGGGUGCGAGCGUUGUCCGGAAUUACUGGGCGUAAAGAGCUCGUAGGUGGUUUGUCGCGUUGUUCGUGAAAACUCACAGCUUAACUGUGGGCGUGCGGGCGAUACGGGCAGACUAGAGUACUGCAGGGGAGACUGGAAUUCCUGGUGUAGCGGUGGAAUGCGCAGAUAUCAGGAGGAACACCGGUGGCGAAGGCGGGUCUCUGGGCAGUAACUGACGCUGAGGAGCGAAAGCGUGGGGAGCGAACAGGAUUAGAUACCCUGGUAGUCCACGCCGUAAACGGUGGGUACUAGGUGUGGGUUCCUUCCUUGGGAUCCGUGCCGUAGCUAACGCAUUAAGUACCCCGCCUGGGGAGUACGGCCGCAAGGCUAAAACUCAAAGGAAUUGACGGGGGCCCGCACAAGCGGCGGAGCAUGUGGAUUAAUUCGAUGCAACGCGAAGAACCUUACCUGGGUUUGACAUGCACAGGACGCCGGCAGAGAUGUCGGUUCCCUUGUGGCCUGUGUGCAGGUGGUGCAUGGCUGUCGUCAGCUCGCGUCGUGAGAUGUUGGGUUAAGUCCCGCAACGAGCGCAACCCUUGUCCUAUGUUGCCAGCGGGUUAUGCCGGGGACUCGUAGGAGACUGCCGGGGUCAACUCGGAGGAAGGUGGGGAUGACGUCAAGUCAUCAUGCCCCUUAUGUCCAGGGCUUCACACAUGCUACAAUGGCCGGUACAAAGGGCUGCGAUGCCGUGAGGUGGAGCGAAUCCUUUCAAAGCCGGUCUCAGUUCGGAUCGGGGUCUGCAACUCGACCCCGUGAAGUCGGAGUCGCUAGUAAUCGCAGAUCAGCAACGCUGCGGUGAAUACGUUCCCGGGCCU
RNAcentral lists this ribosomal RNA (1337 nucleotides) under uncultured bacterium. RNAcentral describes it as "bacterial SSU rRNA". It matches the Rfam family "Bacterial small subunit ribosomal RNA", at positions 28 to 1381 of the family's 1533-position model. The record is from RNAcentral.